AUUGAACGCUGGCGGCAGGCCUAACACAUGCAAGUCGAACGAGUGGCGGAAGGGUGAGUAAUGGAUGGGAAAGUGACUGAUGGAGGGGGAUAACUACUGGAAACGGUAGCUAAUACCGCAUACCAUCAGAUGUGCCAAGAUGGGAUUAGCUAGUUGGUGGGGUAACGUCUCACCAAGGCGACGAUCCCUAGCUGGUGUGAGAGGAUGACCAGCCACACUGGAACUGAGACACGGUCCAGACUCCUACGGUAGGCAGCAUUGGGGAAUAUUGGACAAUGGGCGCAAGCCUGAUGCAGCCAUGCCGCGUGUAUGAAGAAGGCCUUCGGGUUGUAAAGUACUUUCAGCGGGGAGGCGUGACCCGCAGAAGAAGCACCGGCUAACUCCGUGCCAGCAGCCGCGGUAAUUC
This 406-nucleotide ribosomal RNA is filed under the name uncultured bacterium. RNAcentral's name for it is "partial 16S ribosomal RNA". It matches the Rfam family "Bacterial small subunit ribosomal RNA", at positions 30 to 526 of the family's 1533-position model. The record is from RNAcentral.